GUUGUAGUAGCUUAAUAUUUAAAGCACUGGUCUUGUAAACCAGAGAAUGAGAGCUCAUACCCCUCCUAAAACA
RNAcentral lists this transfer RNA (73 nucleotides) under Rhinochimaera pacifica (Pacific spookfish). RNAcentral's name for it is "tRNA-Thr". It matches the Rfam family "tRNA". Rfam says of the family: Transfer RNA (tRNA) molecules are approximately 80 nucleotides in length. The record is from RNAcentral. Lineage: Eukaryota; Metazoa; Chordata; Chondrichthyes; Chimaeriformes; Rhinochimaeridae.